Molecule: long non-coding RNA, 1222 nt
Organism: Lepus europaeus (European hare)
Lineage: Eukaryota; Metazoa; Chordata; Mammalia; Lagomorpha; Leporidae
Exons: 3
Source: RefSeq, a predicted model, not a curated record
CAGACUCUUCGCUCCUGCCCUGGGCUGCGUGCAAAGCGUCCACCUUCCUGGAGAGUCUCACAUUUGGAAGGAAGGGUUGUGUUUCGUUUGCUGUUUUGCAUUUUCGAUCCCAGCCAACAGGUGUUACACCCUCUGCCGUUCCUCCUAACAGUCAGUUUAAAACAGUUUAAACCAUGCCAGGGAUAUUGGCUACUCUCCACUUUGAUUCUGACUCCAAGAAUAUUUCUUGGAAUAUUGUUAUUCCAUGUAAGACGCAUGGAAUCCUGAACGACUGAAGAUGUUUCUCCGUGUUUGAGACUUCAUGUGUCUUGUCGGUCUCAGCCUUCGCCCACCAGCCUCCUCCUGUACAGUGGAAUUAAUGCUCCAAAGUGAGAAAAACUCAAGCUAUUGAUGGAGAAGAUACACUGUGCAGAAAUCUUCCGGAUUCCUUCAGUUCCAUGGAGUGAGUCUGUGCCUAUUGCCUCACGAGCACCGGGCUUGGCAUUGGGCUUGGGUGUUCUGUUCGGACGUGAGAGGUUGUAAGAGCCCCACCAGCCUAUUGGAUGCCUUCAGUGGACUUAUUGCUUGGGAUUUUUGCCGUGGCCUUCUUGAGCCGCGUGUGCUAUCAACGCAGUGGUUUCUAUGGAAGGAUGAUUCGCAAUGAUUUGCUGUUUUCCUGGAGAGACCUGCUUGAGCUGAGCAGAGGGGUGGCUCAGGCUCUGGCCAGCAGCAGCCCAGGCAUGUGGAUGGAUCUCUCCAGCUCACACUGGAAGGAUGUGAAACCCAUGUGUAGAAGUGUUUCCUGGCUUUAAAAUCCUGAGCAAGUGCAUUGGAAACCUAGCCCUCCUCCAUGUAAUAGCUGCCAAUGGUGCGUGCAAAAAAAAAAAAAUAUCUGAGGACGGCCAGGAAGUGGCUUGAUGGACUGAAAGAGAAGCCAAGUUCAUCCUCUGGAAGCCAGCCUGGCCUUAGGCUGGAAAACCGCUGGCUCCAUCAGCGAGCUGUUCGUGCCCCGUGCAGCCAAUUCCAGACAGGUAUGGGCUCGAAUGGAGUUUUCCAGUAAAAGGAAAUGAAAAGAAAACCAAGACCCGCUCACAGCUUAUACAGUUGGGCUUCUGCCCCGAUAUCCUGCCAAAACCCGUUCUUUGGAGCUUUUGCAAAGUCAGACGGCCCCAUGCUGACGUCAGUGUCUCUUCUGCCACCUCUGGGCUUGAGUGCAACCCGUGACCCUGGAUCACACGGGUAA